Molecule: ribosomal RNA, 496 nt
Filed under: uncultured bacterium
Lineage: Bacteria
Description: partial 16S ribosomal RNA
Rfam family: Bacterial small subunit ribosomal RNA
Source: RNAcentral
GAUGAACGCUGGCGGCGUGCCUAAUACAUGCAAGUCGAGCGAACAGAUGAGGAGCUUGCUCCUCUGACGUUAGCGGCGGACGGGUGAGUAACACGUGGAUAACCUACCUAUAAGACUGGGAUAACUUCGGGAAACCGGAGCUAAUACCGGAUAAUAUAUUGAACCGCAUGGUUCAAUAGUGAAAGACGGUUUUGCUGUCACUUAUAGAUGGAUCCGCGCCGCAUUAGCUAGUUGGUAGGUAACGGCUUACCAAGGCAACGAUGCGUAGCCGACCUGAGAUGGUGAUCGGCCACACUGGAACUGAGACACGGUCCAGACUCCUACGGGAGGCAGCAGUAGGGAAUCUUCCGCAAAGGGCGAAAGCCUGACGGAGCAACGCCGCGUGAGUGAUGAAGGUCUUCGGAUCGUAAAACUCUGUUAUUAGGGAAGAACAAAUGUGUAAGUAACUAUGCACGUCUUGACGGUACCUAAUCAGAAAGCCACGGCUAACUACGUG